Long non-coding RNA from Toxorhynchites rutilus septentrionalis, 7225 nucleotides. RefSeq lists it as uncharacterized. The record is from RefSeq and is a predicted model, not a curated record. The transcript has 2 exons. Lineage: Eukaryota; Metazoa; Arthropoda; Insecta; Diptera; Culicidae.
UGUUAGCACUGUGUUUGUUCUAUCACUUAGUUCGGUCCUAAAUAUGACAGUUCAUGCACAGAUUUUGAUUAUAAUUCACUAUGUUUGUUCUAUCACUUAGUUUGGUCCUAAAUAUGAUAGUUCAUGCACAGAUUCUGAUUAUACUUCACUAUGUUUGUUCUAUCACUUAGUUUAGUCCUAAAUAUGAUAGUUCGCGCACAGGUUACUACGAGUAUCUAAACUUGAUCACUACGGAGAGAAAAAAAAAAACACUUAGCGCAUCCUACCGACUGCGCCAAAAACGACCGGGACUUUCUUUUUAGAGUUUUUAAAAAAUGCGUCGAUUCGAUUCGGUCGUCUAAUUGAAACUGAUUUCUUUAUUCAAUUAAAAAUGGAAUGGUGCUCCUGAUGUUCUGCUGCUUCCGCAAAUUUGUUUGUUGUUGACCGGAUGUGUUCUGCUUACUUCGGCGGUUGUGUGCACGCGUGGCUGAGUUGUUGACGCCGCGAUAAUAUCCAGGUCGCCGCUGGAAUUUGAUGGUGCGUCGGACUGCGAUGUUUCGCGGGCGAUUUUGCUGACGGUGUUUAUCGAUUGGGUUGUCUCGAUUUGUGUAGGGCCAGAAUGGGCCGUAACUUAUAUAUAUAUAUAUAUAUAUAUAUAUAUAUAUAUAUAUAUAUAUAUAUAUAUAUAUAUGAACAAUUUUCCUUUAUUCUAUUGUUAAUAAGGUAGAAAACCGAUUUCUCGCGGUAGACUUGAGUUUAGAAGGGUGACCUAUUUUUAUCAGGAUCUGGAUUGGAUAUAAGGAUAUGUUGACAAUGUUCACACUCACACUCUCACUCACACUCAUCACACUCAAUUCUUAAACCUAUCUUAUAACCAGGGCCUGACAAUUUCACUUCAAUUAGCACAUCGUCACUCAAUAAUGUGUCUAUCGCUUCUCAGAACAGAACCAGAACCAUGCAGGCUAAAAAUAUAUCUAUUCUCUUUUCACGCACAAUAAGAAAAACAUCUCGUCUCUUUCGUACAUAUUCCUUUCAUUUCACGUUGAUUCCUUUCAUUCUGCAAACCAAAGCGACGUUAAAAAUCGUCACUUGGAAAUUAAUUUGAAGCAUCCAUGUAUUCUGGUAUAGAAAGGAAUGUUUCCUUGUUGCAUUCGAAACUUAUUCACUGAAACUAAUGAAAACGGUGCAGUGAGGGUUGUGUAAUAUGCCUGCAGGAGUAAUUAUUUACCGGCGCUAGUUGUCAGUGUGAAAUUAGUGAUGAAACGGAUAGUGGUUUGGUCGGAUACUGGAUACCGGUCAGCUUCGAGUCCGAAUAACCGAGUAUUCGACAGCCCGAUGUUUGUGUUUGUGCUUGUUUGUGUGCGUGCACGUGUAUUUGUGUAUGUUCGCGCGUUUUUUGGAUGUUUGUGUGCGUGUGUGCGCGUGCGUUUGGGCGUGUUUUUUUUUGCUUGCAUGCAGGUGUGCGAUUUUUUUAUGCGCGGGCAUGUGUAGGCGUGUUUGCGCGCAUUUGUGCGUGUUUCUGUGCGCGUGUGUACGUGCGUUUGCGCGUGUUUUUUUCUUGCUUGUGUGCAGGUGUGCGCGUUUUUUUGUGCAUGGGCAUGUGUGGGUGUGUGUGCGUACGUGUGCACGUAUUUGUGUGCGUGUGUGCACGUGCGUGCUCGAUUCUUUCCGUGCGUGCGUCUGUGCGUGUGCACGUUUGUGCGCGUGUAUGUGCUUGUGUGUGCGCGUUUGUGCGCACCUGUGCGUCCAUUUGUAUGUUUGUGUGCGCUCGCGUUUUUAUGCACAUGUUUGUGCAUGUUUGCGCGUGUGUGUGCGUGUUCGUGCACCCAAUGGUAUGUGCGUGCGCGUGCUUCCGGCGUUGUGUAUGCGCUCUAGUCGAAAAUCGCGUAAUUUCGAGCAAAUCGUGUAAAAAAAUCGCGUAAUUUCAAGCAAAUCGCUUAAAAAAAUCGCGUAAUUUUGAGCGAAUAGCGUAAAAAAUAUCACGCAAAAAACGCAUAAAAAAGAAUCCAGCGUACUUGCAAAUAACAUGCUUUUUCGUAACAUGGAAUACAUGUUUGAUACAGGAAAUAUAAUAAAAUGAAGACAGCUAAAUGAAAUUUUAUUACAUUUUCUGUAACAAACAUGUAUUCCAAAUAACAGAGAAACAUGUUAUUUACAAGUGAUUGAAGAAUUUUGAACACGGUCCGCGACGAUCCAUUUUGGUAAAAUAAAACUUACGUUUGAAAGCAGCAAGCAUCCUCUAACAUGCGAAAUGAAAAUAAAUAUAACCCGUUCAAGCAGUUUUAAUCGUCAGUGAAAGCUUCUGCUUUUAUACUUGUAAGAGAACGAAAGGGGAAAGGAACGAAACAAAAGAAUCAAUGUUACUGUAUGCGUAGAGAACAUUUCGUUUCCACUUCACCCCGAUACACUGAAAUUAAUCCACCGAAAAUGAAUGUAGUGGAAGUGAGAGUUGUAUGAAUAAAAUUCAAUCACAUUUAUUAGCUUCGAAAAUAACUAGCCCUGCUUAUAACUACUAUGUAUUUACAUUUCAACUAAAUACAGAAAAGUCAUUAUAUUUAGUUUAUAUCAAUACACAUGACGUUAGACCAGCGAUACUCAACCUGCGGCCCGGCAGACUUUCUGAUUGGCCCAUCUGGUGUGUAUGAAGUUUGGAACUCAUACAUAUAAGUACUUUUGCCCUGACAUCAUUGCAGACGGAAGAGAGGAUACGAUUAUUCACAAUUAAUGAAAAAUUGCUUCCACUGCAGAUAGGGAAAAAUCUUGAACGAAAAUUGUCUCUGAUAAUUAUUUUCUGUUAUGGAUAAGAUUGUUUUGCUGAAAUUCAAGGAGAUUUAUAGAAAAAUAGUUAAGUUAGGGUCAGGACUAUGUCUUCUAAGUAUUUAAACAACAUCGAAUAACAAUUUUUAUUCUAUUUUCAACAACUUACAUUUGCUUUCGAGUCUGCUUAUGACGAAAUAUGGGUUACUGUUCGAUAUUGUUACCACAGACAUGGUUCAUGGCCGUGUAGUGAUCUAAAACUUGUAUAGCCUUGCAUGGCGGAUGGAAAAUAUACACUGCAUUUUCUUAUAAAUUUCACCAACGACAAGACCGCAAGCCUUGGUUGAUGUCCAACAUAUCAACGAAGAAAUACUGAUUUUUAUAAAAAUUAACAACUCGUAUGUAUGUGUAGAUCGUUGAAACAUUUAAACACACUUACAACACAUAAGUUAUUUUUUAUUUUACAAUUAACAUAUUCACUAGAAAUAUAUUUUAUGACAGAACAACGUUUGCUGGAUAUAUAUACAGCCAUUCCAUGCAAAAUCGAUAUAGUGGUUCUCAGAUUUUCGUCAAAAGUGGUAAUUUUGUUUUCUAUCGCAAAACAUUAGACCCGUAUUUAUUUUUUCAGUAGGGUGCCCAUUUCCAUUUUAGGGCGGUCCGAAAAAUCUUUUUUUCCACUUUUUCCCAAAAAUCACAAAUGAAAAUCAUAACUCUUGAAUCACUGAACUGAUUUAGAUAAUCGACAUAUAAAAUUGAAACUAAUGACCUAGCCUUUAAUUGAAAAAUAUUUAACUUGCGAAAAAAAAUAAUUAUAUUUUAGUAAUUAUUGAUUGUAGUCGUUUUUAAUUUUUUUAUGACUUUGGACUAGAGGGCGCUAUAUUUUUUAAUAUUUUUUCUUGAAAGCUGGAAUUUUUUACAUAACAUAUCUCGAUAUCAGAGAUGCUAUUUUUUCGUUUUUUAGAUUUGAUUUGAAAAAUCAUUUUUACCCCUUUGCCCAAAUAUAACUUUCUGCAAAAAAUCAUAACAUUUGAAUUACUGAAGCGAUCUAGAUGAUCGAUAUAUUAAAUUUAAGCCAAUAAGCAAAAUUUGGAAAAAUAUCACACUUUCGGGGAGAUUGGAUUUUAGUCGCAUAGGUCUAGUUUAGUCACAUAGGAAUAUUGAUCGAAGACUUAAAACAUAUUAAAUUUACAAAAUAUAAUUUAAAAACGAUAAUUAUAGUAUCUCUGAUAUCGAGAUAUGUUAGGUAAAUAAUCCUCAGCUUUCCAUAAUAAAUAUAAAAAAAAUAUAGCGCUCCUAUCUUUAACCGAGAAAACUAUGAAAAACUAACUCAAUCAAUAAUUACAAAGUUUCGCAAAAGUAAUAUUUUUUCAAAGAAAAAUAACUCGUAAGCUUUAAUUUGAUAUGUCGAUGAUAUGAAUCGGUCCAAUAGUUCAAAAGUUAUGACUUUUUGUAGUGGGAUAUUUUAUGUAAAAAAGCUUUCAAGAAAAAAAUAUUAAAAAUUUAGCGCCCCCUAGUCCAAAGCCAUGAAAACAUUUAAAAAACGACUACAAUCAAAUAUUACGAAAAUAGCAAGUUCAAUAUUUUUCAAUCAAAGCUCAUUGGCUUCAAUUUGAUACGUCGAUCAUCUAAAUCGGUUAAGUGGUUCGAAAGUUAUAAAUUUUUGAAAAAAGUCAUUUUGUGAAAAAGUGGAAAGAAAUUGAUUUUUUGGAUCACCCUAAAAUGGAAAUGGGCACCCUAAUGAAAAAAUAAAAAAUACGGGUCUAAUGUUUUACGAUAAAGAACAAAAUUACCACUAUUGACGAAGAUCUGAGAACCACUGUAUUGGUUUGACAUGGAAUGGCUGUAUAUAUAUACAAAAUACAAUCUUACAUUCAUCGCGAUGUACAAAGUAUUAAUUAAUAUGUGAAAAUUAACGUUAAAAGACAUUUCUAUAGGUCUGCACACUUUUACAGACUUUUCCACAUUUUUCACAGACAUUCACAUGUUUUUAAAAAUCAUCUGGCAUCUCUUCCUUCCACUUUUUAUCGAAUAUUUUCAAAUCGCAGGUGUAAACAUGUACGUGACUCUGACUUCGUUUGUUUUUAAUUCGUUCGGGAAAACGUUAUGUCAAAGAAAGGGGACAUUAAAAAUGCGUUGCUCAGUGAAAGGCUGAGAUGCUCUUCCAGAGAUGCAAUGGUUAAUUAAACAAUUGACGGAAAAAUGUAGUUCGUUCAUUUUAUAAUUUUAAUUAUUUUUGCCCUUGAUAACAAUACCUCUUUUAUAGUGUUGAUUAUCAUAAGAAAAAUAACACUCCUGAUCGUUGGAUCUCUUUUGACAUUUCAAUUGGAUUUUUUUUGACAGCCGUUUUGAUUCAGUCCGCACUACCUAGAUUUACUUGUGUCGCAGAUGUCAAGAUUUGAGUUUUUUGAAAACCGAAAAAUCAAUGAGAUCGGAGUGAUGCCACAUAUCUUAGAAAUGCAUGAAACGUCUAGAUUUUUUUGUUAUUUCGAUAUUUUUUUUGUAAAAAAAUUACUUUUGACACUUGGUUGUUUUUCCGUCUGACAAGUUGAUUUUCGAAAAAAAAAUUCAACUUCUUCACUUUUUUAUAGUUCCGCACAGCUUCAUUUAUCAUCCUUUCAAUACGUACCCUCUCUUCUCUCAUCAGAAGGAAUGUGGACGCGAUACUCCAACGUAAAAUGCUUAUCAGCAACAAUCCCAGUUCUUACAACCUUACAAAUUUCUCGUCAGACUGUUCAUCUUCUUCUUCUUUGUUUUAAAGAGGCUUUAAACUUUCCAGUUCAUUCGCCUCUAACACUGUUCAUGAUUGCAUUCGACUUGCUUAGAGAAUCCGUGGUUAAAAUCGGUUUUCAAGUGAACUCUGUGAAUAUAUGCUUUUCAUGAUCGAGAUGUGAAUCGGUUGCAUGUGUUUUUUUUUCCAGAACGCAAAGUGUAGAUUCAGUUUCAGGUAAAUUAAUGGUAGCAACUUAAAUUAUCUUUGAAGACUAAACAAACCCCAGAAAAUCAGGAUUGAAAAUGCCCAAAAUGGUAUAAAGAUAGCUGGGAUAUGAUCGAGAAGCUCGACUGUACCUGCAGCAAUGUAGCAAACUGAAUUCAAGAUGGGGUAUUGUAUCGAUAUGUAAUACCACUAGUUUCACAUCUGCUAAUGAGGUGAGUAAAUGGAGUGAAAAUUUUCAGUUCCCAUUGAAAUAACCACUGGAGGUCUAUUCGUCGUUCGGGUGAUACGUAUAGUUGGAAAUAAUUCCUUCCAGGUAAAGCAGCAGUUAUAUCUUUCUAUUCACACAAUUGAUUGUUCUAUUUUCUAUUUCAGAAUCGUUGAACCCAGUUGGAACAUCUCUGCCUUUUUCUUGAAUGAAACAUUUACCAGUUCCUAGCCAGUUUUGCAAACAAAUAUUCUCCGAUCACGUUAUUUUCAAGAACUCGAUUGUACCGUACUCUUAUUUACUAAUAAAAAAUCUCGUGUUUCUUUGCACCCACAAACCCACCCACCAAACCAUCCCAGGGCGUCUUCAUCUUUAACAUCGUGCAAUGGACCCCGGUCAAAUACCUCGGCUACUCGUAUCCACUCUGGGCGCACUUGUUCGGAUGGUUCACUGCCCUGUCUUCCAUGCUGUGCAUCCCCGGCUACAUGAUCUGGCUGUGGAGAAACACCCCCGGCGAUCGGGCCAACAAAAUCCGACUGAUCGUCAGAAUCGAGGACAGCGUUAGCCAGCUACGAGAAAGAAUGCAAUCCGAUCAGGAAAAAGCCAUGGAGCUGUAAGCUCCAGCUCCAGCUCCAGUUCACCAGCAGUGUUUUCCACCCCUUUCCCCACAGCGAACAAACCGGGUGAGACGAACUUCUCGUGCGACACGAUCUUAAACGCGACAACCGACGAAAAGCUUGUUUCCUGUAGUAUCCUACCUCUACUAGUGGUCUACCUUGAAAACACACGCACUAUAUACAACCUACAUAAGUUCUACACCGCUUUCACUUUUACACCUACUUCCGGUUUCGGUCCAUAGCGUAAUGUGACGAAUAUUAACUAACUUUAUGAUAUAUUGUAACGAGUUGAAUGAGUUCUUAUUUAUUUAGUACCUAUUUUGCGACAUAAAACAUUCCCAUGUUAGAGUUUAACAGAAAAAAAAACAGAAAAGCGAAGAGCGAUUCCGCUGGCGAUUAGUUAAUUCACACAAACAUACUACCUAAUAAUAAUUGAUAAUAAUAAUACUUCUAAUUAAUGAUAGCAUUAACGCUAGCGCUGCUUACAUUGUACGUGUCUUUAGUUGAUAAGAGGAUUUAAGCGGAGAUGUCUCUCGGUUGGCGGCGAAACAUAUUUAGACAAAAGCACCCUCGAAAAUCGGAAUCACAAUCACAACAAGCAAACAUCUACAGCACAGCAUUUUUGAUUUCUUACAGAGAAGACAUAAAUUGAGUGUGGAAAAAAGAACAGAAAAGACAGUGUAUUCUAAGCCAUUGUCAGUAACGAAUAAAAUGUGAUUUGUAAGAAAAAAA